This 120-nucleotide ribosomal RNA is filed under the name uncultured bacterium. RNAcentral's name for it is "partial 16S ribosomal RNA". It matches the Rfam family "Bacterial small subunit ribosomal RNA", at positions 524 to 643 of the family's 1533-position model. The record is from RNAcentral.
UACGUAGAGAGCAAGCGUUGUCCGGAAUCAUUGGGCGUAAAGGGUACGCAGGCGGUCUAUUAAGUCAGAGGUGAAAUCCAACAGCUCAACUGUUGAACUGCCUUUGAUACUGGUAGACUU